This 29-nucleotide non-coding RNA is filed under the name Homo sapiens (human). Lineage: Eukaryota; Metazoa; Chordata; Mammalia; Primates; Hominidae. The record is from RNAcentral.
UGGGCCUUAAUACUGACAGUGAGUGUGGC